GUUGGUAAGAGAGGUGCGAAUAAGAAAUACAGCGAGUAGGGCGAGACGGGAAGUGAUCUAUUUCUAUAGACAGAAAAAAUGCUGAACAAGGCGAAAAAGAAAGAAGACUUGUUGACAAUAUUGCCUUUUGUAAUAUCUGCAGAGGAAGCGGUUUGGGAUUUUUUUUGUGUAUUAUUUUGUGGGUUAUCUGCAUAAGUGGUGCGGUCUCCAACAUUAAGCCCACCCAUGAAGUAGACUUUAAUAGUAACAGUAACGCCAACAAAAGAAUUGAUUCCAACAAUGAUGCUGAGCAGGACGUUGUCACAAACACACAUAUCAACCAGAAAGUCGACUCAAACAGCAGAAAUCUAACAGAAGCAUCUACCAAAGUCACCAAAAACAGUAACAGGAGCCAUGGAGAUGAUUCCAAAAGAUAACACCAACAGUAGCAGCCAGGAAGUAGACUAGAACGUUAUUCAAUUCAAUUCAGUUCAGAUUUAUUUAUAUAGCGCAUUUAACAAUGGAUAUUAUCCCUAAGCAGCUUUACAGAAAUGUAUAAAUUCAGGAUAUAGAUUUUAAAAUGUAUGAAUUUUUCCCUAAUGAGCAGCCAGAGGCGACGGUGGUGAGGAAAAACUCCCCGAGACGAUAUGAGACAGAAACCGUGAGAGGUACCAGACUCGGAAGGAAACACGUCCUCAUCUGGGUGACACGACAGAAAGUCAUCUCAAUCAAUAACAUCAACUAGAAAGUUGACUUUCACAGUAAUGAGAGUCAGGACACCGUCUCAAACAGAAAAACCAACCAGGAAGUUGACUAAAUAGGAAAAGUAAUGCCAAAGAGUAAACUGAAACUAAAGUUUAUUCCAAUGUAAAAGAGAAGCACCAACCAGGACAUUAAUACCAAAGGUAAUGCCAACAAGGACAUUAAUACCAACAGUAAUGCCAACCAGGACAUUAAUACCAACAGUAAUGCCAACCAGGACAUUAAUACCAACAGUAAUGCCAACAAGGACAUUAAUACCAACAGUAAUGCCAACCAGGACAUUAAUACCAACAGUAAUGCAAACCAGGAUAUUAAUACCAAAGGUAAUGCCAACAAGGACAUUAAUACCAACAAUAAUGCCAACCAGGACAUUAAUACCAACAGUAAUGCAAACCAGGAUAUUAAUACCAACAGUAAUGCCAACAAGGACAUUAAUACCAACAAUAAUGGCAACCAGGACAUUAAUACCAACAGUAAUGGCAACCAGGACAUUAAUACCAACAGUAAUGGCAACCAGGACAUUAAUACCAACAGUAAUGGCAACCAGGAAGUUAAUACCAAUAAUACUGGCAACCAGGAAGUUAAUACCAACAGUAAUGGCAACCAGGACAUUAAUACCAACAGUAAUGGCAACCAGGACAUUAAUACCAACAGUAAUGGCAACCAGGAAGUUAAUACCAAUAAUACUGGCAACCAGGAAGUUAAUAUCAACAGUAAUGCCAAGCAGGAAGUCAACCAGAAAGUCAUAAUAAACACUAAUGGCAAAUACACAGUUGACUACAACCAGGAAGCCACCUCCAACAUUAACACCAAACAGGAAGUGGACUCAAAUAGUGACGUCAACCAUGAAGUUGAACACUGACUCAAAUAGCAGCAAGAACCAGAAAGUCAACUUUAACAGUAUUGCCAAACAGGAAGUAGACUGCAACAGUAACACACAUUAUAAAGUGCACUCAAAUGGUCUAAUCAAACCGUAACAAAAAACACAACUCCAACAGAAAUGCUAACCAGGAAGUGAACUAGAAAUUGGACUAAAAAAGUAAUGUCAGCCAGGAAGUCGACUCAAAGAGUCAGGAGGUUGCAAAACUGUAAAUCCACCAUGCAGAUCCGUCUCGCCCGGUGAUGGUGGAACAAAAAAAAAAAAACCCUUCUGUCCUUCCACCAAUGAAACAGGAGGGCUAUUUGGUCAAGUCUUUUAUUUUCAAUUUAUUCACAGCAGUCCUUCACAGAGAUAUCUAUUUAACAACAGCUACUUCUUUACAAAUAAAUCCUGUUCGGCAUUUAUUCUGUCUGUAAAAAGAGAUUGUUCCUGACGCACUUCUAAUAAUACACCCAUGUGCUUUUCCUCUUCUGUGCACAUGCUGGGGAAAUUCACCUGGCUGUUACACGCCCAUCUGUCCCUGCAGAUAUUCCGAGCGUCUGCUCUUGAUUUGGUUAAUGAGGGGUAUUGUGCAGAGUGGAUUCAGAGGGAAGCUACUCAUAACAGGCUGGAGGAAAGCUAAUGGGGAAUGACAGUGGAGCUAAACACUCUGUGAGCACAGAAUGGCCCCUGGAUACUUUAAAGUGUGCUUGGUAUGGAAGAG
This is a long non-coding RNA of Ictalurus punctatus (channel catfish), 2324 nucleotides long. NCBI's taxonomy places the organism in Eukaryota, Metazoa, Chordata, Actinopteri, Siluriformes, Ictaluridae. The record is from Ensembl.